RNAcentral lists this ribosomal RNA (279 nucleotides) under uncultured bacterium. Its description in RNAcentral is "partial 16S ribosomal RNA". It matches the Rfam family "Bacterial small subunit ribosomal RNA", at positions 506 to 784 of the family's 1533-position model. The record is from RNAcentral.
UGCCAGCAGCCGCGGUAACACGGGGGGGGCAAGCGUUAUUCGGAAUUACUGGGCGUAAAGGGCAUGCAGGCGGCCUGAUCAGUGAGAAGUGAAAGCCCUCGGCUUAACCGGGGAACUGCUUCUCAUACUGUUAGGCUAGAGUGUUGGAGAGGAGGAUGGAAUUCCCGGUGGAGCGGUGAAAUGCGUAGAGAUCGGGAGGAACACCAGUGGCGAAGGCGAUUCUCUGGACAACUACUGACGCUGAGGUGCGAAAGCGUGGGGAGCAAACAGGAUUAGAUA